RNAcentral lists this ribosomal RNA (468 nucleotides) under uncultured bacterium. Its description in RNAcentral is "partial 16S ribosomal RNA". It matches the Rfam family "Bacterial small subunit ribosomal RNA", at positions 28 to 507 of the family's 1533-position model. The record is from RNAcentral.
GACGAACGCUGGCGGCGUGCUUAACACAUGCAAGUCGAACGGAAAGGCCCUGCUCUUGUGGGGUGCUCGAGUGGCGAACGGGUGAGUAACACGUGAGUAACCUGCCCUUGUCUUUGGGAUAACUUCAGGAAACUGGGGCUAAUACCGGAUAGGAGCUCCUGCUGCAUGGUGGGGGUUGGAAAGUUUCGGCGGUUGGGGAUGGACUCGCGGCUUAUCAGCUUGUUAGUGGGGUAGUGGAUUACGAAGUGUUUGAAGGGUAGCCGGCAUGGGAGGGUGGCCGGCCACAAGAGGACUGAGAGACGGCCCAGUCUCCAACGGGACGCAGCAGUGGGGAAUAUUGCACAAUAAGCGGAAGCCAGAUGCAGCAACGCCGCGUGCGUGAAACCGGCUUUUGGGGUAUGAACCGCUUUCGCCUGAGAUGAAGCGUGAGUGACGGUAAUGGGUAAAGAAGCACCGGCUAACUACGUG